CACAGAGAUGCAGCCAAACGGAUUGAGAUACAGCCAGAGGCUACAGCUCAAUUAUCAAACGUUUAGGAACAUCUCUUUGGGGUUUGGGAUAACGAAGAUGCAGAUACCCUAUGGGAGAGCGAUCGGUUGAAGAAUGACAUGUUUUAAUAGAAGAAAAAAUAUGAAAUAAAUUAAAAAUAAUAAUAGAAAAAUGCAGAUGGAAUAGGAUCCUUUACAGUCG
This 220-nucleotide long non-coding RNA is filed under the name Drosophila guanche. Lineage: Eukaryota; Metazoa; Arthropoda; Insecta; Diptera; Drosophilidae. The record is from RNAcentral.